GUGAGUCAUCGAAUCUUUGAACGCAUCUUGCGCUCCCGGGUUAUUCCCGAGAGCAUGCUUGUUUGAGUGUCGCGAAACUCUCAACCCCGCUCCUAUCUUUGUUGAUUCGAGUUGUCUGGGCUUGGAUCUUGAUUGUUUUGCUGUUCUAAUGGACAGCUCAAUUGAAAAUACAACAAGCUGAAUCAAUAUAUGUGCGGCUUGACCUGUCGUUGUAAGCAAUUCAACUCGAUGGGGACGCACAAGAAUUGAACGAGCUUCUCAAAAUGCUUUCCACUUUGCUUGGACCUGGCUCAAACCAAAAGUCCUUCUCAGUGCAUUCUGACCUCAAAUCAAGUAGGACUACCCGCUGAACUUAA
Molecule: ribosomal RNA, 356 nt
Filed under: uncultured fungus
Lineage: Eukaryota; Fungi
Description: eukaryotic LSU rRNA
Rfam family: 5.8S ribosomal RNA (bases 1-72)
Source: RNAcentral